This is a long non-coding RNA of Mauremys mutica (yellowpond turtle), 1287 nucleotides long. RefSeq lists it as uncharacterized. The record is from RefSeq and is a predicted model, not a curated record. Lineage: Eukaryota; Metazoa; Chordata; Testudines; Geoemydidae. The transcript is spliced from 4 exons.
CUUGGAUGACGUUCGGGCUCCGCGAGCUGCCAGCAUGGAGGAGGCCGCGGCGGGAAGCGGCGGUGGCAGCCCUGCCCUGGGACUGGCUCUCGGGGAGCUGCUGGGGGACGAAUGUUACGCUGAUUUUUUUAAGAGAAGACUUUGAUGUAAAGACUUAUACUUCUCAAUCUGUUCAUCAAGCUGUGAGCUGAACAGUUAGCAAAACUUGCUCAAGGAAUCAGUCAACUGGAUAAAGAGCUUCACUUACAAGUAGUUGCAACACAUGAGGACUUAUUGGCACAAACAACUGGGAUUGGAUCUCUGGAAGUAGCUGCUUUGGAUCACAUGAAGAAAGCCUAGCCUGAAAGAUACCCUGGGGAUAUCCUAAUAAGCUCUGGUAUAGGUGAAAGGCACUGCAUAGAGGCACUAUAGACUAGUGGACUAAGCAGAGGGCUAAAAGCCAGAAGCUUCUAAAUUCUGUUCUCAGCUCUUCUACCCUGUAUAGUCUUAAUAAUUAAGCCUUGUGGUUUUUGUCCACUGAUCUCGCAGAGCUGUGCAAAAAUUAGUUAUGCCUAAUGGUCUCCCUGUAAGGUAGGGAAGUAACUCAUUGUCCACAAAAGUUGAAUGAUUUGUCCAAGGCGUUACAGCAAGUCUUUAUUAGAGUAGAAUUUUGACUGUCAUUCCCUAUGCCAGGCCUGCACAACAUGCGGCCCGCGGAGGCUCACUGUGCGGCCCACGGGGGGAUUCUAAACCCCGCACACCCGGGAAAAACCACGCUCGCUCACCGUCAUCGCAAAAGUCCCAGGGCUGGCAUGCGGCGUUUCCUGGGGCAGCUCCCGGUGGUGCGCCUGCCCGCCGGCAGUGCGAGUGGCUGAGUCCUGCCCAAUCAGAGCUGCGGGGGCGGGGCUUUCAGGCACGCCGCCGGCGGCCGCCUCCCCAGUGGGACAUGGGCUUCCAGACAUGGGCUUCCCGCGGCUGCGGGCAGCCCAGAGCCCUUUGAAUCCUGGCUGUGGCUGAGAUUUAAAGGGCUCCCGGCUCCCGACCGCUGCGGGGACUCCAGAGCCCUUUGAAUCCCGGCUGCGGCUGAGAUUUAAAGGGCUCACGCCUCCCGACCGCUGCGGGGAGCCCAGAGCCCUUUGAAUUCGGGGCUGGGAUUUAAAGGGCUCAGGGCUCCCCACGGCUGCAAGGUAAUUAUGAAAAAUACAAAUGUUUUCUUUCAACGGAACAGGUUUUUUUCAUUUUUCCAUGAUUCAUAAAAAAAAUUAAAUUGUUUGAUUUAAUUGAGACAUUCUUAAUAAAGUAUCAACC